RNAcentral lists this transfer RNA (74 nucleotides) under Pteropus alecto (black flying fox). It matches the Rfam family "tRNA". From Rfam's summary of the family: Transfer RNA (tRNA) molecules are approximately 80 nucleotides in length. Lineage: Eukaryota; Metazoa; Chordata; Mammalia; Chiroptera; Pteropodidae. The record is from Rfam by way of RNAcentral.
GGCUCCGUGGUGUAGUGUUUAGCACGUCUGCUUUACACGCAGAAGGUCCUGGGUUUGCACACCAGGUGGAGCCA